This 776-nucleotide ribosomal RNA is filed under the name uncultured Neocallimastigales. RNAcentral describes it as "partial large subunit ribosomal RNA". It matches the Rfam family "Eukaryotic large subunit ribosomal RNA", at positions 24 to 614 of the family's 3401-position model. Lineage: Eukaryota; Fungi; Neocallimastigomycota; Neocallimastigomycetes; Neocallimastigales. The record is from RNAcentral.
UAUCUCUGUAGAGUCUGCAUAUCAAUAAGCGGAGGAAAAGAAACUAACUAGGAUUCCCUCAGUAACGGCGAGUGAAGCGGGAAGAGCUCAAAUUUGAAAUCUCCAAGGUUCUACCUUGACGAAUUGUAGUUUAAAGAAGUGUUUUCUGUUGGAGUUUUGGUAAAAGUUCUUCGGAAUAGGACAUCAUAGAGGGUGAGAAUCCCGUAUUUGACCAUUAUUUCCAGCUUUGUGAUACACUUUCAAAGAGUCGGAUUGUUUGGGAAUGCAGGUCCAAAAUGGGUGGUAAAUUUCAUCUAAAGCUAAAUACUGGCGAGAGACCGAUAGCGAACAAGUACCGUGAGGGAAAGAUGAAAAGAACUUUGAAAAGAGAGUUAAACAGUACGUGAAAUUGUCAAAAGGGAAGCGUUUGACACCAGUGUUGUUUUCUCGAAAAUCAAUUAAAAAUGGCAGGAUUUUGUGUUGUAUUGACUUUAUCAGCUUUCUGCACUCUUUUCCUGUCUUUUUUAAUGCACUUUUCGUUUAACAAGUCAACAUCAAUUUCUUUUGUUGUAAAAGAGGUCAUUGGAAGGUGGCUUUCUUUUCGGAGAAAGUGUUUAUAGCCUUUGGCCUCUGCAAUCGGAGAGAUUGAGGUCUGCAGCGUAGAUCCUUCGGGGUUAGAUACAUUUGUGCUAAGUUAUAGCCUUUCAUAGACAACUUGUUGACUAUGAUCAGUCAUGUAGCUUACUCGCUUAUGCUAUUUUACCUACGCUUAGGAUGUUGAGUCAUCACACAUCUCU